CCAGGAAGAUAUUAUAUAACUGAACAAAAGUGAAUUCUCAGUUUUGUGUCAUGCUUAGAUAAAUAUAACUCAAUUUGUUGCGGUUUCAUUCUUCGAAUUGGAAUUUGUCAUCGCCAACUGGAAAAUAAAACCUGUAGGAGACGAUGGAAGCACGCAAAGGAGACGAUAGAAAGAAGUAAAAUGAAGGAUGGACAAGUGUCAGAUAAGUAGCUAAUAUUCUGAACCUGUACCAAUGUAUAUUAUUUAUGUCUUAAAGAUGCAUGAAUAUGCAAUACAAACAUAUUAUGCUAUUUAUGCGAGCAUUAUAAUUUUAGAUAUUGGAUCAAUUCUUUUUUCCGAUUAAUGUUUUUGUUUCAGCUUUAGGAGGUAUAAUGUUUGUUGAAAUGUUCCAAAGGAUUAAUUCAUAACAGAAAUAAUCCAGCCACCAAAGACGAAAAUGAUGAUUGACCCAGCCAGCAAAAGCAAGUCUGAUGAUUGAUCCGUCCAGCAAAGGCAGAAUCUUUGCCAAUAUCUUAAUACCACAACAAAUUUGAUUGACGCAGACUGGGAUGUGAUUGAACAGCGAACAAGUCAUCAGGUUGCAUCCACCAGUUAAAUAUGCAGUUGUCGUACAAGCUGGUACAUGUACAUCCGAAGGAAAGCUCCCAUAUAAGCGACUGGUUACGUCAAACCGCUGACCGACUGCGAAAAUCAAAAAGUGUAUGAAGAAGGAACCAGAAAGCUGUGUGUACAAUAUAUUUUGAUAUAUCGUAGAUUUAUAAACAUAUCCGUCCGAUUCGUUGAAACGAUAAUUAAAUUAAUAUCUUGUUAUGCUCUUUAAAAGUUGUUAAUUAAUUUUAACGCGAGCCCGUGUAAAUACGAAUCUUUGAUAUUGCUCUAUAUGGUAGACUUUAAUUUAUAAUAUUCAAUUUAUAAUUUUUAAGUGUGCAUGUAUACGCAAAAGCCUUUG
Molecule: long non-coding RNA, 949 nt
Organism: Harpegnathos saltator (Jerdon's jumping ant)
Lineage: Eukaryota; Metazoa; Arthropoda; Insecta; Hymenoptera; Formicidae
Exons: 3
Source: RefSeq, a predicted model, not a curated record